UUCUUGACCGCUGACUAUUGAUCAUGAUGAACUCUUCCUUUGGUAAACUUCCACUUAGGGAAGUCUAGUUUGGAAACAUCUGAUUCUGAUUACUGUAAGCAUAAUGAACUCACUCAUUUGUCAAAUGAAGGAGAUUCCUUUCCUUCAAAGCUUUAGCCGAAAUUAUGGUUACAGCACUGUUAGCUUAUUCAUGAAAUUCUGAACGUUGGUUACAAGUUGCAAGCUGGGCAGAAAUCAUCCAGGAGGGAUCAACUAGAAUCUGAACACUUGUGCAGCCUUCUAGAAUCUUUUUUUUUAUCUUAAAUAAACGAACAAAGUUGACAGUUUCCAAACACACAGGUCAAUUUCCACCACCGCAACUUGCUGGCUGCAUCUGAUAGCUUCUCUUUGCCUGUAAAUCAAGACAGUUAAGUUUCAUCUUCAAGCAAAUGAAAAGUGUAUUAUUAUAUUUUGAAAAAUGAGACAAGAAAAGUACACCAGUGGUAUGCAUACAUUCGUUAGUAGUACAACUAACCCAGAAAUGAAACAAUAAGAACAAGUGAAGUUUGAUUGUACUAACACUAUUGAAUCGGUACAAUCCAAAGAGAAAGAGUUGAUCUUUACUUGGAUGGGAAGGAAGUGUCAAAUGUGGGACAGCUAACCAUUCCAAUUUGGAAGGGGAGGAAGUCAAAGAUGAACGAUUUUACAGGUGAAGAAGACAAGAGAGAAGAAUAUGGAAAGGAAGAUUAGUUGCAGCUAUAGUUUGGAAGAUGGAGGUGGGUGAGCAGAUCUCAAGUCCUUGUUUGAUGUGGGGAACUCAAAACUCAAAAGUCAUUAAUGGUUGAUAAUUCUCUGGGGAUUUGAUUAUGACUAGCUAGGGGAUGGAGAGUAGUUGUACAACUAAACCCAGAACUGGGUAGGAAUUAUUUGGAACCGACUGUUCCAAGAGUUGUAACAGAGUUGUUGAAUUAUUUGCGAGCUUCCUACCCUACAGCGAAUUGGUUUGGUAAAAGUCACUUCUAGACUUGCUUGGGAAGAAGGUUUUCUUUUCUUUUUUACAUCUGUAAAGGUGGUAAAACUUGCAAUUACCAAUUCAAACUCAAGGUUAACUUAAAUAUCCUAUUGACAAUUAGA
RNAcentral lists this long non-coding RNA (1113 nucleotides) under Linum usitatissimum (flax). Its description in RNAcentral is "long non-coding RNA (LUSI_LNC007032)". Lineage: Eukaryota; Viridiplantae; Streptophyta; Magnoliopsida; Malpighiales; Linaceae. The record is from RNAcentral.